AGCGAACGGACGAGAAGCUUGCUUCUCUGAUGUUAGCGGCGGACGGGUGAGUAACACGUGGAUAACCUACCUAUAAGACUGGGAUAACUUCGGGAAACCGGAGCUAAUACCGGAUAAUAUUUUGAACCGCAUGGUUCAAAAGUGAAAGACGGUCUUGCUGUCACUUAUAGAUGGAUCCGCGCUGCAUUAGCUAGUUGGUAAGGUAACGGCUUACCAAGGCAACGAUGCAUAGCCGACCUGAGAGGGUGAUCGGCCACACUGGAACUGAGACACGGUCCAGACUCCUACGGGAGGCAGCAGUAGGGAAUCUUCCGCAAUGGGCGAAAGCCUGACGGAGCAACGCCGCGUGAGUGAUGAAGGUCUUCGGAUCGUAAAACUCUGUUAUUAGGGAAGAACAUAUGUGUAAGUAACUGUGCACAUCUUGACGGUACCUAAUCAGAAAGCCACGGCUAACUACGUGCCAGCAGCCGCGGUAAUACGUAGGUGGCAAGCGUUAUCCGGAAUUAUUGGGCGUAAAGCGCGCGUAGGCGGUUUUUUAAGUCUGAUGUGAAAGCCCACGGCUCAACCGUGGAGGGUCAUUGGAAACUGGAAAACUUGAGUGCAGAAGAGGAAAGUGGAAUUCCAUGUGUAGCGGUGAAAUGCGCAGAGAUAUGGAGGAACACCAGUGGCGAAGGCGACUUUCUGGUCUGUAACUGACGCUGAUGUGCGAAAGCGUGGGGAUCAAACAGGAUUAGAUACCCUGGUAGUCCACGCCGUAAACGAUGAGUGCUAAGUGUUAGGGGGUUUCCGCCCCUUAGUGCUGCAGCUAACGCAUUAAGCACUCCGCCUGGGGAGUACGACCGCAAGGUUG
Molecule: ribosomal RNA, 850 nt
Filed under: uncultured Staphylococcus sp.
Lineage: Bacteria; Bacillati; Bacillota; Bacilli; Caryophanales; Staphylococcaceae
Description: bacterial SSU rRNA
Rfam family: Bacterial small subunit ribosomal RNA
Source: RNAcentral